CUCAUGAUGCUCAGUAAACAGUAGCUCCCUUCACCUGCCUAGAAACCUCUCUGAGGGAAAGCACUUUGGAAAGGAGAGUGCUCUGUAUACAUUUACGGGUUUUGCUCGUUGCGCCAACUACACUGAGCACCUUGGGCAGGCAGCAAGAGUGCUUCAUCUCAAUCUCGCCUGCACCCAACCCAGGCCCGUGGCCGGCCUGGAGCAGCUGUGAUGCACCUGAGCAGGAUCUGCUGUGACCUGUUAGACAUGUGCGUCCUGCCUCAAGUUCGCCUCAAGGUUUCCUGAGGGCACAGACCAUCAUCUCUCUAAAGUCCUGCCCUGUGUGCUGGCUGCAGGCCUGGCCACGUGCAAAGAGGAAGUGAAUCUGCUCCAUAAAGCUCUCCUGCCACGUGACCCAAUUCUGAAGCAAGGGGGAGCCCAUCCCUAGCGUACUUUACCCUCACACACCAAGGACCCAGGCCAAAAUGAGAUUCGAGACAGAAUGUUUCACUCAUCUUGCCCUUUUCAGUGGUCUUUAGGAUAGCAAGAGAGAAAAAGCCUGAAGAUGGAAGAUUCUGUCAAGCCCUGCCAUCUCAAAAAGGUAUGGUGCUCCCUGGCCCACUAAAGCCAGAAGCCAGCAAAACCAUCCAACUCUGGGCCUGUCUUUCCCACGCUAGUACCAACAGAAACCAAACGCUAGGCUAAAAAGUCCAGACUAAGCUGAAAGGUACCAUUUGUAACCACAGACCUGGUUACACAGCCAGAAGGAUGUUUCCAAAGUGCAUUUGUGAGCACUUUACCCUCCUGAGCACAGCCUUUUCAUUGGCUCCCCACUGCCCAGAGAAGGAAGUCCACGCUCCUUCGCCUGGCACUCAGGGCCCUUCACUGGCUGGGUCAGUGUACCUGUGUGACUACACACUUCUCGGUAUCUGACACACACUGUCCCUACCCGCCGUCUGGGCCCACUCCUUCUCCAGAGCUGCCUCUUUCCUAGGGCUCAGCCCUUCUCUCCUCUGGACCCCCAGCACCUUGGACUUCCCUGAGCCCUGCUCUGUAUUUUUUCAGUCACCUGCUCUCCCCGUCAGUGCUCACCUCUCACUCAAAACCUAAGGUCCUUAUGGGCAGACUUACCUUGCUCAUCCUCUGUGCUUACACAAAACAGAUGCUCAGGAAGCCUUUGUGGGAAGAUGGAUGGUUCUGGGCAGCAAAUGGGAGGAAGUUUCCAGUCAUGAUUAAGCCAAAAGGUCUCCUGGUAACACUGAGAAGUCUACGUCACUGGAUGGCACGGUAUCAGAUCGUUACAGCGUAUGAGUAUGAAUACAAUAGGACCUUUCUUGUUCUGGAUGACGUCACAGAGACCCUCAUCCCUGGGCCACCACCAC
Molecule: long non-coding RNA, 1361 nt
Filed under: Equus asinus (donkey)
Lineage: Eukaryota; Metazoa; Chordata; Mammalia; Perissodactyla; Equidae
Description: lncRNA (ENSEASG00005032647.1)
Source: RNAcentral